This 368-nucleotide long non-coding RNA is filed under the name Daucus carota (carrot). RNAcentral describes it as "long non-coding RNA (DCAR_LNC004033)". The record is from RNAcentral. Lineage: Eukaryota; Viridiplantae; Streptophyta; Magnoliopsida; Apiales; Apiaceae.
AGACUAAGGUGAAUCCAAAAGUAACAGUAUGUUUAUGUACAACCUUAAAUGUAAAGUGGAGACUGAAUGAUUAUCUGAGAGGAUGAGGGCUGACGGCUGAGGGGAGAGUCGCGCCGCGCGGUGGAGUGGUGGAGCGGUGUAUUCGUGUAAUCGUGUUAGUCAGAUUAGAUUAGGGUUAUGUCUAUCUGUAUACUGUAUUAUGUAUAUAUGUAAUAUUAAUAUAUAUUUAUUUAAAUUUAAUAAAAAUUUCGGUUAUUUCGGUUUGAACCGAAAUAUUAUAUCAAAAAUCGAACCGAACCGAACUUUUAUUCGGUUCAAACCGAAAAACCGAAAUAACUGAACUUUUCAGAAAAAUGAAACCAAACCGA